RNAcentral lists this ribosomal RNA (597 nucleotides) under uncultured Comamonadaceae bacterium. Its description in RNAcentral is "bacterial SSU rRNA". It matches the Rfam family "Bacterial small subunit ribosomal RNA", at positions 8 to 596 of the family's 1533-position model. The record is from RNAcentral. Lineage: Bacteria; Pseudomonadati; Pseudomonadota; Betaproteobacteria; Burkholderiales; Comamonadaceae.
AGAGUUUGAUCCUGGUUCAGAUUGAACGCUGGCGGCAUGCCUUACACAUGCAAGUCGAACGGCAGCACGGGAGCAAUCCUGGUGGCGAGUGGCGAACGGGUGGGUAAUAUAUCGGAACGUGCCCAAUCGUGGGGGAUAACGCAGCGAAAGCUGUGCUAAUACCGCAUACGAUCUACGGAUGAAAGCGGGGGACUCAGCAAUGGGCCUCGCGCGAAUGGAGCGGCCGAUAUCAGAUUAGCUAGUUGGUGGGGUAAAGGCUCACCAAGGCGACGAUCUGUAGCUGGUCUGAGAGGACGACCAGCCACACUGGAACUGAGACACGGUCCAGACUCCUACGGGAGGCAGCAGUGGGGAAUUUUGGACAAUGGGCGCAAGCCUGAUCCAGCAAUGCCGCGUGCAGGAUGAAGGCCUUCGGGUUGUAAACUGCUUUUGUACGGAACGAAAAGACUCCUUCUAAUAAAGGGGGUUCAUGACGGUACCGUAAGAAUAAGCACCGGCUAACUACGUGCCAGCAGCCGCGGUAAUACGUAGGGUGCGAGCGUUAAUCGGAAUUACUGGGCGUAAAGCGUGCGCAGGCGGUGAUGUAAGACAGGUGUG